UGAGGAUUCAACAGCAAGGACAACAGGCACAGAAGCGGCUCUGGGGACGGAGCCCGGCUCACCGGCUUGGCAGGGAGACUGCGGAGAACCUGAAGAUGGUCUGGUCUGUCUUGUUGAUGGCGUCUCAGACGGUAGGGGGACACUGAAUGGGACAUCAAUGAGAACAUUUACCCAGUGUCUUCAUGUGCCAUGCCCUGUCCUAAGCCAUUACGUGAACUGGCUCCUUUCAUCCUCAUAGAAAGUCCAGGAAGAAAAUAUGAUUAUGCCUAUUCUACAGAUGAGGAAACUGAGGCACAGAGGGGUGGCAAAGUAGCAGCUCCACAGCUUGCAAAGGACAGAACUGAGAUUCGAACCUAGGCACGCUGCCUCCAGAGCCCCAGCUUUACCCUAGACCAGUGGGUCUCAGAGGUGGUGGGGUGUGUAGGUAUUUUGACCCCAAAGGACAUUGGGCAAUGUUUGCAGACAUUGCCAGUUGUCACAACUUGGCGAGUGCCAAGGAUGCUGCUAAAUCUCCUACAAUGCACAGGACAGGUCCCCACCCCGAAUUAUUCAGCCCCAAAUGUCAAUAGCGUGGCUGCUAAGAAACCCUGUUCUAG
RNAcentral lists this long non-coding RNA (596 nucleotides) under Equus asinus (donkey). Its description in RNAcentral is "lncRNA (ENSEASG00005034897.1)". The record is from RNAcentral. Lineage: Eukaryota; Metazoa; Chordata; Mammalia; Perissodactyla; Equidae.